RNAcentral lists this ribosomal RNA (526 nucleotides) under Bacillus licheniformis. Its description in RNAcentral is "bacterial SSU rRNA". It matches the Rfam family "Bacterial small subunit ribosomal RNA", at positions 36 to 538 of the family's 1533-position model. Lineage: Bacteria; Bacillati; Bacillota; Bacilli; Caryophanales; Bacillaceae. The record is from RNAcentral.
ACGCUGGCGGCGUGCCUAAUACAUGCAAGUCGAGCGGACCGACGGGAGCUUGCUCCCUUAGGUCAGCGGCGGACGGGUGAGUAACACGUGGGUAACCUGCCUGUAAGACUGGGAUAACUCCGGGAAACCGGGGCUAAUACCGGAUGCUUGAUUGAACCGCAUGGUUCAAUCAUAAAAGGUGGCUUUUAGCUACCACUURCAGAUGGACCCGCGGCGCAUUAGCUAGUUGGUGAGGUAACGGCUCACCAAGGCGACGAUGCGUAGCCGACCUGAGAGGGUGAUCGGCCACACUGGGACUGAGACACGGCCCAGACUCCUACGGGAGGCAGCAGUAGGGAAUCUUCCGCAAUGGACGAAAGUCUGACGGAGCAACGCCGCGUGAGUGAUGAAGGUUUUCGGAUCGUAAAACUCUGUUGUUAGGGAAGAACAAGUACCGUUCGAAUAGGGCGGCACCUUGACGGUACCUAACCAGAAAGCCACGGCUAACUACGUGCCAGCAGCCCGCGGUAAUACGUAGGUGGCAAGG